Molecule: non-coding RNA, 119 nt
Organism: Onygenales sp. PD_12
Lineage: Eukaryota; Fungi; Ascomycota; Eurotiomycetes; Onygenales
Source: the annotation of a GenBank genome assembly
GGGCGCUUGGUUUAGUGGUAUAAUAUGUCAUUCGCACUUGCAAUUGCUUAGUAACACGCACACGCGGCGUACGCAUGCACGCAUUGACGGGGUCGCCGGUUCGAUUCCGGCAGCGUCCA